This is a long non-coding RNA of Neomonachus schauinslandi (Hawaiian monk seal), 867 nucleotides long. RefSeq lists it as uncharacterized. The transcript is spliced from 3 exons. The record is from RefSeq and is a predicted model, not a curated record. Lineage: Eukaryota; Metazoa; Chordata; Mammalia; Carnivora; Phocidae.
ACGCCGCCGCCGCCGCCGCCGCCAUGCACCCCAGGACCCGGCCUUCGAAGGGCCGCCUUCCUCCCCAGGCCUAGGGAUCGGGCUCGCGGUUAAGGAGCUCCAGCCCCGGGGCCGGGUGGCCCACAUGUGGGAGCGCAUUGUUUCCCCUGCCAGGCUCCCAGGCUCCAAGACCAAGACGCGCACCAGCACCGAGGCUCUGCUGACCCACCGCUUGUCUCUAAUUCUUGCCUGACACAGACAUUCCCUGCCCAGGGAAGUGUUUGAUUUAUGUUGAGGUUCGAGUGUCGGGAUUUUGCUGACAGGUGGGCACGCUGAGGCCCAGAGAAGUAAAGUGAUUUGCUCAAGGUGACCGGUGGAGCUGGGACUUGCACCUGGGCUGGAAUCACCCCAGAACAUCUGGCAGCCACAGCUUCGUGUGCAAACUUGCUGGAAGCCUUGUUGGGGAAGCUCUGCCCAGAUGGUGAUGAGACCCAGAUCUGCCCAUCUUUUGUGACAUCUCAGACUCUUUUUCUGGAAGGCCCACUUGGUCAUCUGGUCCCAACAGCUGGGACAGCUGUGGCACAGCGAGUGCAGGUGACUUGUCUGAGCCGGGCCAGGAAAGGGCAGAGCUCAGCCUCCCCUCUGUGAGAAACAGGCAGUUCUAGCAGUAGAGACAGUGAUGGGGGACUCGGUUUCCUAGUCACUGUCAUGUCCAAUGGCCAGUAACCGUGAACUCUUUCCUCCUUUUCCUUCCACCCAGCAAAUGCAACAUCCAGAUGCAGCCAGUUGUGAGGAGAAUAUUUCCAUAGAAAUUCUGCAAUAUGGAUAUCCUCUCUAGGCCCCAGUCCAGCCUGAGCAGCUCCUCUUCUGGCUGGGAAGUUUCUUUCC